AAAUAUGAAGUAAAUUUUACAAUUUAAUUUCGACUUAAAUUUUUGGUUAAACUUAAAACCCAUAUUUU
This 68-nucleotide transfer RNA is filed under the name Anterhynchium aff. flavomarginatum HB. RNAcentral's name for it is "tRNA-Arg". RNAcentral also lists the same sequence under 1 other name. Lineage: Eukaryota; Metazoa; Arthropoda; Insecta; Hymenoptera; Vespidae. The record is from RNAcentral.